Long non-coding RNA from Patella vulgata (common limpet), 646 nucleotides. RefSeq lists it as uncharacterized. NCBI's taxonomy places the organism in Eukaryota, Metazoa, Mollusca, Gastropoda, Patellidae. The record is from RefSeq and is a predicted model, not a curated record. The transcript is spliced from 5 exons.
AAAUCUUGCCUAACAUCGUAUGAAUAGAAUACUGUCAUAGUCACGUGAUCUACAUGUUUAAGUUUUAUCCAAGGUUUGAUGAUUAACUUGCAAGAGAGAGUUAUCAUCUGAGCGAAGAGCGUUAUAAUUACAAUACAGAUAAUACUUCACAAUGUUUUCCUUUGUAGCUGCUUUAAGUAUAUGUACGAUAUGUGUUGUAAAUGGUUAUCCACAGGGCCCACCCACAAGUGCUUGUGUUGACAUGUACCCUACUGGACACAAAGCGAAUGCUCAAACCGGAACUCCGUAUUUUCAAAUAACCGUGGAUCAAACCACAUAUUCUGCUGGUGGCACUGUUACAGUGAAUUUGAUUGCCACCUCUAACUACUAUGAAGGUGUUUUUAUACAAGCUAGAAGAGCUGUCAGUAAUUGUUCUGAUGGUACAAACGAUACACCGGUGGGAACGUUUACCAUACCCAGUGGUGACACAUUCCUUCAACUUAUGACAUGUAGCGGUGUUUCUGGUAGUGCAGUUUCCCAGAAAACGAGUGUACAUAUAACUAAUAAGACUAUAACAUGGACAGCUCCUACUCCAGCUGUUGGUCAAAUCUAUUUCAGGGGAACUUUUGUGAAGAACGAAAAGACGUUCUGGACGGACAUAUCUUCA